Molecule: unclassified non-coding RNA, 1288 nt
Filed under: Hevea brasiliensis (rubber tree)
Lineage: Eukaryota; Viridiplantae; Streptophyta; Magnoliopsida; Malpighiales; Euphorbiaceae
Source: RNAcentral
UAGUGAUUGACUUUCCAUAACAGAUUUCUGUUACAAGGUGAUUGGUUAUCCUUUGGAUUGGCACCAACCUGGAAAGCGAAAUAACAGACAAGGAAAGCAAGGAAAUCGUGGAUAUACCCAGCAACAGUGGGACAGCAGUACAAUGAACAAGACAACCUCCUCAGGAGCAGCUUUUACCACUGUCGUAGAUGAAAGUGAGUCUCCAAUUCCAGGGCUUACUUCUGCACAACAUCAACAAUUAUUGGCUCUAUUAAGUGGGCAAGAUGCAGCACUCAACAAACCAUCAGUAAACAUGGCCAUUUCAUCAAGCUUUUCUGGUAAGACAAAAGAUGCAUGGAUAAUUGAUACCGGAGCCACACAUCAUAUAACAAACAAAAUUGAAUCUUUGUCAAAUAUGAUUCCUAGCUCAAAUAGACCACCAAUUCAAAUUCCUAAUGGAGAAAUGGUAAAAGUAGAAGCCUUGGGACGAGUUGCUAUUGAUAAAGAAUUGGCUCUUAAACGAGUACUCGGAGUGCCUAAUUUUUGCUUCAAUUUAUUAUAUGUCAGCAAAUUGACAAAAGAUUUAAAUUGUUCAUUAACUUUCUGGUCAAAUUCUUUUGUCAUACAUUACUUACACUCAAGGAGGCUGAUUGGAGUGGGUAGAAAGAAAAACAGUCUUUAUUACUUGGAGCCAUUGAGAGGAGGGAAGGCAUUAGUGGCAAGGCACACUACCACUGCAAGUUUAUGGCAUUGUCGCUUGCGACAUCUACCAAUGAAUAAAUUAUCUCUGGUUCCAGAUUUACAUGUUUCUUUUGAUAAUGGGGACAAUUCAGUUUAUGAAGCUUGCUACAAAGAAAAACACACGAGAUUAUCUUUUCCUAUUACUAUGAAUAAAACAAUGCAUGCUUUUGAUUUACUUCACUGUGAUAUUUGGGGACCACAUAGAAUCAAGUCACAUUUUGAUUCACAUUAUUUUCUGACGUUAGUGGAUGAUUUCAAUCGAGUAACAUAGGUGUUUCUCAUGAAGCACAAAUCAAAAACCAAGAGAUAUGUGUUACAAUUUUUCAAUUGGGUUGCAACCCAGUUCAAUGCAAAAAUUAAAAUUUUGUGAACAGAUAGAUAAUGGUCUGGAGUUUACUCAUGGAGAGUUGCUAAAAUUUUAUUUUGACAGUGGAAUGGAGCAUCAGACUAGUUGCACAUAUAUGCCACAGCAAAAUGGCGUAGAUGAACGCAACAUAGACAUCUCUUGAAGGUAGCACGUGUUAAAAUAUGUACCAUAAAUAGUUAGGAUAUGUGUAUCUGUAGUGAU